This is a small nuclear RNA of Callithrix jacchus (white-tufted-ear marmoset), 139 nucleotides long. Its record names the gene U4. It matches the Rfam family "U4 spliceosomal RNA". From Rfam's summary of the family: U4 small nuclear RNA (U4 snRNA) is a component of the major U2-dependent spliceosome. The structure of U4 snRNA from yeast and human has been reported. U4 snRNA presents a k-turn RNA motif in the 5p-SL related to recognition of Snu13 protein. The record is from Ensembl. NCBI's taxonomy places the organism in Eukaryota, Metazoa, Chordata, Mammalia, Primates, Cebidae.
AGCUUUGCACAGUGGCAUUAUCGUAGCCAAUGAGGUUUAUCCGAGGCACCAUUAUUGCUAAUUGAAAACUUCCCAAUACCCCACAGUAAUGACUUGCAAUACAGUCGGUACUGGCAAUUUUCGACAAUCUCUAUGGAGA